GGACUACUGGGGUAUCUAAUCCUGUUUGAUCCCCACGCUUUCGGGUUUGAGUGUCAGUGUCUGUCCAGUUACCCGCCUUCGCCUCCGGUAUUCCUCCUGAUAUCUACGUAUUUCACCACUACACCAGGAAUUCCAGUAACCUCUCCAGCACUCAAGUUUCGCAGUAUCGAAUGCACUUCCAGGGUUGAGCCCUGGGCUUUCACACCCGACUUACAAAACCACCUACACCCGCUUUACGCCCAAUGAUUCCGAACAACGCUUGGAUCCCUCGUCUUACCGCGGCUGCUGGCAC
This 292-nucleotide ribosomal RNA is filed under the name uncultured bacterium. RNAcentral describes it as "partial 16S ribosomal RNA". The record is from RNAcentral.